GGCAAUAAAGCGGUUACAAGCCCGCAAAAAUAGCAGAGUAAUGUCGCG
This 48-nucleotide non-coding RNA is filed under the name synthetic construct. The record is from RNAcentral.